Molecule: ribosomal RNA, 420 nt
Filed under: uncultured bacterium
Lineage: Bacteria
Description: bacterial SSU rRNA
Rfam family: Bacterial small subunit ribosomal RNA
Source: RNAcentral
AAUGAACGUUGGCGGCAUGGAUUAGGCAUGCAAGUCGUGCGACAAGCCUAGCUUGCUAGGUGGAGGAGCGGCGAAAGGGAGAGUAACGUGUGGUUACUUGCCCUCGGGUCCGGGAUAGCGUCGGGAAACUGGCAGUAAUACCGGAUAACAUUUACGAAUCAAAGGUGUGAUUCCGCCCGAGGAUAGGACCGCAUACUAUUAGCUUGUUGGCGGGUAAUGGCCCACCAAGGCAACGAUGGUUACCGGGUGUGAGAGCAUGGCCCGGCUCACUGGGACUGAGACACUGCCCAGACACCUACGGGUGGCUGCAGUCGAGAAUCUUCGGCAAUGGGCGAAAGCCUGACCGAGCGAUGCCGCGUGCGGGAUGAAGGCCCUCGGGUUGUAAACCGCUGUCAGUAGUUAGGAAAUGCCAUGGGGCAC